GGAUCUGAGGGCAAUCAGGCUGCAAUAUUUGUCACCCCAUUGAUCACCAGGGUUGACUUAGCUGCCCUGGCUGGCUGGGUGACUGUCCCUUUCCUCACCACUCCACGUGCCUCCCUCCCGAAGCCAUGAGAGGAGGACCGUUCUUGGGUCAAGGGUAAGCGAGUAGCUGCCCUCCCUGUUAGAACCUUCACAUGAGCUCUCAAGGAGUAGGGUAAGGGUGCUUAACCCAUGGGGACAGGCCCAGAAGCCUUUGACAGACUUUCCUCAGGGUCCGUGAGC
RNAcentral lists this small nuclear RNA (279 nucleotides) under Chinchilla lanigera (long-tailed chinchilla). RNAcentral describes it as "7SK RNA (ENSCLAG00000021410.1)". It matches the Rfam family "7SK RNA". Rfam says of the family: 7SK was discovered as an abundant small nuclear RNA in the mid-70s but a possible function has only recently been suggested. Two independent studies have found that 7SK RNA binds the CDK9/cyclin T complex (known as elongation factor P-TEFb). Lineage: Eukaryota; Metazoa; Chordata; Mammalia; Rodentia; Chinchillidae. The record is from Rfam by way of RNAcentral.